This is a long non-coding RNA of Tetranychus urticae (two-spotted spider mite), 1838 nucleotides long. RefSeq lists it as uncharacterized. NCBI's taxonomy places the organism in Eukaryota, Metazoa, Arthropoda, Arachnida, Trombidiformes, Tetranychidae. The record is from RefSeq and is a predicted model, not a curated record.
GAUUUUAAUCAAGAUUGCAGUUUACUAAUAAAUUAGUUAUUCACUGAGUUAAUGAAGUUUCCUAAAGUUGAUACAGGAUUCUAAAAUUGUAAUUGCUGAUUAUCAAAUUUCAUAUAUCAAUUUUAAAAAAAUAACUUAUAAAACAAUUAUAAAAAGUUUAAUUGCAAUCCCUUAGAUGGAGCUGGUAAUCACGCUAUUUCAUUUAUUGCAAUGGGCGCCAUCUCGUAAUUUUCAGUGAUACUUUAAAGCUAUUUUACUCUUACUCUAAAGUUUGUUUCUUUUAUUAUUAUUUUGGCUAAUUUUCUGGUUGCUCGAGUCUCGAGAUGUUUAACAUAAUUGUCCUGAAUAAUUCACCAGGAAUGGCUCUUCAAUGGCACCAAUUUAACUAACCAGGAAAUAUCCGUGGGCCUGGAUCCCUUUCAACAGUAAACAAAGUAAUUUUUGGCUUUUUAUCUUCACUUUAGAUAAUCUCACCUUAGGGCUACUCAAAGGAUCUAAAGGUUAAAAGGCCAUUUACUGUGACCUUUGAUCACAGUGUAAAUUUAAUGCUAAUUUUUAUGUUUUCUUGUGGAACCAAAUUUAUCAAGACUAUCAAUCAUCUAUUGACUAUCGCUGUUCUCAAUUGUAAACACUCAUGAUUGCUGUGGAUUUACCUUACAAAUUCCAAGUUACAUGAAAUAUCCCCAAGACUGUUGGCAGCAUUUUCAACUCUCAUUACAAAUUAUACAAGCAAUGAAGUGGAUCUUGAUCAAAAUGGACUGAGAUUAUUGUUACAAGUUAAUUUAAUUGGUGACUUUAUAAUUGGUCUAGACAAUGCUUAGAAGCAAACCUUUGUCACUAUUAAACCAGUUCAGUUAUUUAAGGAUUCUGGUUCUUCCAUGUCCUAAGGCCAAGGCAAAGAAUCAAAACUAAAUUUAAAAGGGAUUCAAAUUAUAUCUGUUUAAUUAUUGUAACUUGAUAGCAUCAGUAACAAUGCUAAUUUAUCUCCUGGAGAUAAUCAAUUGAGUCAAUGAACCAAGGUAUAACCAUUGGUAUAGUCAGGGUCUCAAUCAUUAUUGAAAAAUUCAACAUUAACUUGAUGAAACCAUUUAAAUGUCAUAUUUAUGCAGGAAAAAAUGGGUAAAAACAUGAGAAUUAACAUCUUAAUCUUGUGUUUUUGGUUUAGGUAAGGUCAAUUGAAUGUUUAUUGUUUCAAAGUUAAUCCAUUUUAUACUGUAAUACAAAAAAGUGUAAAAUGGUUCUCUUUAGGUAAUCCUUUUAAUAACACAGUGACUGACGUGAUUAACUUUAAAUUACAUCUUGAUUGCUUUUUGAAAAAGGUUUCAACAAAGGUUUAAAUUUAGAGAAGCCAAGUUUAAGAUUAACGAUUAACUCUGAAAUUGACCUUCUUUUACCUUCUGUAUUACAGCUUAAUCACUGACCUUACCUUUUAUUUUCAUCACAAUAAGUCACACAAAUAUGGACUUAAAACCAUCACUUAACCCAUUCAAAUUUAAGCUUAAAAAAGACUGACAAGGAAAUAUUAAUAUCAAUAACAAAAAAAGCUAAUCACUUCUAAAUGUGAUCAACAAUCAACUUUAGAUCACUUCUAGACCAUCUCAUUGUAAUGCCAAAUCACAUUUAAGGUAAACCUUUCUGGUUAACCUUUUUUCCUACUAAACACCAACCUUGCCAUAUUCAAUUUACAUACACAAAUUAAUUGUGAAGUAGGUUGAAAUGAUGAUUAGUGAUAAUGGUGAUGAUUGUUUGUUAAUGUAAUCAAGCAACAGCUUAUCUUUGGUAUUGGCAUAACAGACUGUUUGAUGAAUCUUGACUUCAUCAACACAUAAUCAAGUUGA